UACCAUCGUCCGUCGGGCCACAAGAAAACCCAACUUCUCCUUCUCGUUCUUUUCCCUCUCUGCUCCAGAACGUUUGACGACCAAAACGACGCCGUGCAACGGAUCCCUGCGAUCGCGGCCGAACCGAUUCAGAAGAAUCAAAUCAACGACGACCCUUAAUCGCAUGGAUUACAACGAUUCGUGGCGCGGAAGCGAUUAAAUCUUUCGUAAUCGCACGGAAACGUUCUGGAUACAAGAGGGUCACUAAAGGUGCGGGAAUAAAUUGGUAUCGAACUCUCCAUCCACGAGAUUUGGACCAAGACCUACGACUGUGCAUAUUGAGAUUUCGUCAUUCAGUUUUGUUGUAUUUGCCAAGGUAUGGAAAUCAGCUUCCAUGUGUCGCAAUGGCAGAUCAAUAUCCGGUUUGCGAGUCUCAAUCGUCCAGGCAUAAUCAUCCGAAGCGAUCAAGACCUGCCAAGGAAAUCGUUACCAAAUUUCAUUUAAAAUGGUUGUAAUGAACUUUGAAGGUACGAUAACUAAUUAGGAAGCCAAAUCACCAGUCAGGCACAUGAAGCCUUCAAACAGGUUCCCCAAAUUAGGUUAUUUGGACGAAAAACGUCACAUGAAUGGUUUCGUUCAAAAAACAAAAUAUUACCUGAACGGGGAGGGAAGGAAAGAAUUUAAUUUUUUAUGGACCUUUUAGCGGCGAUCUUUCAAUCGCCAUAUAAUAUAGUUUUAGCGGCGACGAGUGACGAAUUUAUUAUCGCAAAAAGUCAUUUAAAAGUCAUUUAACAUGUUUUAGACCUAAAAGUCGUCACUAAAAGUAGUAAAGUCGCCGCUAAAACAAAAAAAC
This 832-nucleotide small RNA is filed under the name Malus domestica (apple). RNAcentral describes it as "sRNA MD04G0195000". Lineage: Eukaryota; Viridiplantae; Streptophyta; Magnoliopsida; Rosales; Rosaceae. The record is from RNAcentral.